CUGUCCACAAGCAUGGGGAAUAUCUUUGCAAACCUCUUCAAGGGCCUUUUUGGCAAAAAAGAGAUGCGCAUCCUCAUGGUGGGCCUGGAUGCUGCCGGAAAGACGACAAUUCUGUACAAACUGAAGCUGGGGGAGAUCGUGACCACCAUCCCCACCAUAGGUUUCAACGUGGAGACUGUGGAGUAGAAGAACAUCAGCUUCACUGUGUGGGAUGUGGGCGGCCAGGACAAGAUCCAGCCGCUGUGGCGCCACUACUUCCAGAAUACCCAAGGCUUGAUCUUCGUGGUGGACAGCAAUGACAGAGAGCGUGUCAAUGAGGCCCGUGAAGAGCUCAUGCGGAUUCUGGUGGAGGAUGAGCUCCAGGAUGCUGUCCUCCUGGUGUUUGCCAACAAGCAGGCCCUCCCCAAUGCCGUGAAUGCUGCUGAAAUCACAGACAAGCUGGGGCUGCACUCUCUACGCCACAGGAACUGGUACAUUCAGGCCACCUGUGCCACCAGCGGGGACAGGCUCUAUGAAGGACUGGACUGGCUGUUCCACUCAGCUCCGGAACCAGAAGUGAACCAGAACUCCCCUUCCCCCUCACUUCCUCCUCUCCGCCCUCAGCUUUCCUCUCAUGUGGCA
RNA transcript from Dipodomys ordii (Ord's kangaroo rat), 621 nucleotides. It is a transcript of the gene named ADP-ribosylation factor 1 pseudogene, with no coding region annotated. The record is from RefSeq and is a predicted model, not a curated record. The transcript has a single exon. Lineage: Eukaryota; Metazoa; Chordata; Mammalia; Rodentia; Heteromyidae.